RNAcentral lists this ribosomal RNA (502 nucleotides) under uncultured bacterium. RNAcentral's name for it is "partial 16S ribosomal RNA". It matches the Rfam family "Bacterial small subunit ribosomal RNA", at positions 30 to 523 of the family's 1533-position model. The record is from RNAcentral.
AUUGAACGCUGGCGGCAGGCUUAACACAUGCAAGUCGAGCGGGGUGAUGGUGCUUGCACUAUCACUUAGCGGCGGACGGGUGAGUAAUGCUUAGGAAUCUGCCUAUUAGUGGGGACAACAUCUCGAAAGGGAUGCUAAUACCGCAUACGUCCUACGGGAGAAAGCAGGGGAUCACUUGUGACCUUGCGCUAAUAGAUGAGCCUAAGUCGGAUUAGCUAGUUGGUGGGGUAAAGGCCUACCAAGGCGACGAUCUGUAGCGGGUCUGAGAGGAUGAUCCGCCACACUGGGACUGAGACACGGCCCAGACUCCUACGGGAGGCAGCAGUAGGGAAUAUUGGACAAUGGGGGGAACCCUGAUCCAGCCAUGCCGCGUGUGUGAAGAAGGCCUUAUGGUUGUAAAGCACUUUAAGCGAGGAGGAGGCUCUUUUGGUUAAUACCCAAGAUGAGUGGACGUUACUCGCAGAAUAAGCACCGGCUAACUCUGUGCCAGCCGCCGCGGUAA